GGGGAAUUUUGGACAAUGGGGGCAACCCUGAUCCAGCCAUUCCGCGUGAGUGAAGAAGGCCUUCGGGUUGUAAAGCUCUUUCAGCUGGAGUGAAACGGUAAGCGCUAAUAUCGCUUGCUAAUGACGGUACCAGCAGAAGAAGCACCGGCUAACUACGUGCCAGCAGCCGCGGUAAUACGUAGGGUGCGAGCGUUAAUCGGAAUUACUGGGCGUAAAGCGUGCGCAGGCGGAUUGUUAAGCAAGACGUGAAAUCCCCGGGCUUAACCUGGGAAUGGCGUUUUGAACUGGCAGUCUAGAGUGUGUCAGAGGGGGGUGGAAUUCCACGUGUAGCAGUGAAAUGCGUAGAGAUGUGGAGGAACACCAAUGGCGAAGGCAGCCCCCUGGGAUAACACUGACGCUCAUGUACGAAAGCGUGGGUAGCAAAC
This 425-nucleotide ribosomal RNA is filed under the name uncultured bacterium. Its description in RNAcentral is "bacterial SSU rRNA". It matches the Rfam family "Bacterial small subunit ribosomal RNA", at positions 356 to 773 of the family's 1533-position model. The record is from RNAcentral.